CGGGAUCUACCUUUUCGUGGGGGAUAACGUAGGGAAACUUACGCUAAUACCGCAUACGCCCUACGGGGGAAAGCGGCGGACCGCAAGGCGUCGCGCGAUGAGAUGAACCGAUGUCCGAUUAGCUAGUUGGCGGGGUAAAGGCCCACCAAGGCGACGAUCGGUAGCUGAUCUGAGAGGAUGAUCAGCCACACUGGAACUGAGACACGGUCCAGACUCCUACGGGAGGCAGCAGUGGGGAAUAUUGGACAAUGGGCGCAAGCCUGAUCCAGCCAUGCCGCGUGGGUGAAGAAGGCCUUCGGGUUGUAAAGCCCUUUUGUCCGGAAAGAAAAGCACGGGAUUAAUACCCUCGUGUGAUGACGGUACCGGAAGAAUAAGCACCGGCUAACUUCGUGCCAGCAGCCGCGGUAAUACGAAGGGUGCAAGCGUUACUCGGAAUUACUGGGCGUAAAGCGUGCGUAGGUGGUUUGUUAAGUCUGUCGUGAAAUCCCCGGGCUCAACCUGGGAAUGGCGAUGGAUACUGGCAAGCUAGAGUGAGGUAGAGGAGAGUGGAAUUCCCGGUGUAGCAGUGAAAUGCGUAGAGAUCGGGAGGAACAUCAGUUGCGAAGGCGGCUCUCUGGACC
RNAcentral lists this ribosomal RNA (620 nucleotides) under uncultured bacterium. RNAcentral describes it as "bacterial SSU rRNA". It matches the Rfam family "Bacterial small subunit ribosomal RNA", at positions 119 to 735 of the family's 1533-position model. The record is from RNAcentral.